AUCUAAGUACCCCGAGGAAAAGAAAUCAACCGAGAUUCCCCCAGUAGCGGCGAGCGAACGGGGAGCAGCCCAGAGCCUGAAUCAGUGUGUGUGUUAGUGGAAGCGUCUGGAAAGGCGCGCGAUACAGGGUGACAGCCCCGUACACAAAAAUGCACAUGCUGUGAGCUCGAUGAGUAGGGCGGGACACGUGGUAUCCUGUCUGAAUAUGGGGGGACCAUCCUCCAAGGCUAAAUACUCCUGACUGACCGAUAGUGAACCAGUACCGUGAGGGAAAGGCGAAAAGAACCCCGGCGAGGGGAGUGAAAAAGAACCUGAAACCGUGUACGUACAAGCAGUGGGAGCACGCUUAGGCGUGUGACUGCGUACCUUUUGUAUAAUGGGUCAGCGACUUAUAUUCUGUAGCAAGGUUAACCGAAUAGGGGAGCCGAAGGGAAACCGAGUCUUAACUGGGCGUUAAGUUGCAGGGUAUAGACCCGAAACCCGGUGAUCUAGCCAUGGGCAGGUUGAAGGUUGGGUAACACUAACUGGAGGACCGAACCGACUAAUGUUGAAAAAUUAGCGGAUGACUUGUGGCUGGGGGUGAAAGGCCAAUCAAACCGGGAGAUAGCUGGUUCUCCCCGAAAGCUAUUUAGGUAGCGCCUCGUGAAUUCAUCUCCGGGGGUAGAGCACUGUUUCGGCAAGGGGGUCAUCCCGACUUACCAACCCGAUGCAAACUGCGAAUACCGGAGAAUGUUAUCACGGGAGACACACGGCGGGUGCUAACGUCCGUCGUGAAGAGGGAAACAACCCAGACCGCCAGCUAAGGUCCCAAAGUCAUGGUUAAGUGGGAAACGAUGUGGGAAGGCCCAGACAGCCAGGAUGUUGGCUUAGAAGCAGCCAUCAUUUAAAGAAAGCGUAAUAGCUCACUGGUCGAGUCGGCCUGCGCGGAAGAUGUAACGGGGCUAAACCAUG
RNAcentral lists this ribosomal RNA (951 nucleotides) under Escherichia coli. RNAcentral describes it as "partial 23S ribosomal RNA". It matches the Rfam family "Bacterial large subunit ribosomal RNA", at positions 200 to 1191 of the family's 2925-position model. Lineage: Bacteria; Pseudomonadati; Pseudomonadota; Gammaproteobacteria; Enterobacterales; Enterobacteriaceae. The record is from RNAcentral.